ACUCGAUCUCGGAUCGGGUGGGAAUCCCCCUCUGAACAUAAGCAUAUCUAUAACGGGGGAAG
Molecule: ribosomal RNA, 62 nt
Filed under: Telimena canafistulae
Lineage: Eukaryota; Fungi; Ascomycota; Sordariomycetes; Phyllachorales; Telimenaceae
Description: partial 28S ribosomal RNA
Source: RNAcentral